UACGUAGGGUGCAAGCGUUGUCCGGAAUUAUUGGGCGUAAAGAGCUCGUAGGCGGUUUGUCGCGUCUGCCGUGAAAGUCCGGGGGCUCAACUCCGGAUCUGCGGUGGGUACGGGCAGACUAGAGUGAUGUAGGGGGAGACUGGAAUUCCUGGUGUAGCGGUGAAAUGCGCAGAUAUCAGGAGGAACACCGAUGGCGAAGGCAGGUCUCUGGGCAUUAACUGACGCUGAGGAGCGAAAGCGUGGGGAGCGAACAGG
This 255-nucleotide ribosomal RNA is filed under the name uncultured bacterium. RNAcentral describes it as "partial 16S ribosomal RNA". It matches the Rfam family "Bacterial small subunit ribosomal RNA", at positions 524 to 776 of the family's 1533-position model. The record is from RNAcentral.